UACGUAGGGGGCUAGCGUUGUCCGGAAUCAUUGGGCGUAAAGAGCGCGUAGGCGGCCCGGUAAGUCCGCUGUGAAAGUCCAGGGCUCAACCCUGGAAUGCCAGUGGAAACUGUCGGGCUAGAGUACGGAAGAGGCGAGUGGAAUUCCUGGUGUAGCGGUGGAAUGCGCAGAUAUCGGGAGGAACACCAGUAGCGAAGGCGGCACUCUGGGCCGGUACUGACGCUGAGGAGCGAAAGCGUGGGGAGCAAACAGG
Molecule: ribosomal RNA, 253 nt
Filed under: uncultured bacterium
Lineage: Bacteria
Description: partial 16S ribosomal RNA
Rfam family: Bacterial small subunit ribosomal RNA
Source: RNAcentral